Molecule: long non-coding RNA, 4214 nt
Organism: Esox lucius (northern pike)
Lineage: Eukaryota; Metazoa; Chordata; Actinopteri; Esociformes; Esocidae
Source: Ensembl
AAAUGCUUGGUCUUUGUAAUAAUUGCAUUACCUCCCCAUGUUAUUGCCACAUGACAGGGUUUAUGAGAGUAUUAUCAAAUGGCUAUUACAUGCCUACUUGAGAGUUUUCUGUAUGGUCCCUCCGGCCUCUUCUUCCAAGUUUAUUUUCGGGAUGUGAAAGGUUUCCAAAACUGCCAAAUUUAAAAGAGCCAGAAAGUCACUGCCAUCUGUUGCGCAUGCAGGAGCCAAUUCAGACUCAUCCACAUCUAGGUUCUCGAUGGUAUUAGGUAGCAAUAAAUCCCACUCCAUACAGUACAAGCUCUCCUCCUCGCAGGGCAUUUGCUUGCACCUCUGGUAAGAACACCAAAACUCACCCGAACUAAGUUCUUGGCCUGGUCUCGGCCGCGACGAUGGCUUGCACGUAUCUUCUCUAGCUCCCCUCUCAUUCAUUACUUGUAAUUCCUUGUCUGUAUACUCUGGCUAAAACCUGUAGGCAAUGCCGUCAAAAUAAUUGCCAUCUUCUGGCAUGCAAUCUUCAUAGUGUUUCAUCGAUCCUCAAACCAAAAUGCAGACAAGUUGUACUAGCUGCUGGUUGACAGAUGCAAAUAGACUAUAGCUAACGUGAGCUACAGUUUUGUAAACAGAGCCAGUUAUCUGAUAAAGCCUCCUUGCAGACUGAUUCAUCUGUGCGGCCGUAGCUAAUACAUUUGCCAGAAAGAAUAAACAGUGAUAACUACUGAUACAAUGCUCAUUUUGGCACAUUUUUUUUCAGGAGAACGUACAGAAACCUAUAUCAAUACACCGUGGCCUGCCUGUUAUGGAAAACCGAAUGUAUCAUACAUCUUCGAACGCUUGGUUGCAGCAUUCACUUCCAUUUUAGCCCAGAGAGAGACUGCAGGAAAAAUCGAAAAAAACUAAAAUAAUUUACAAAAAUAAUUCUCUAUAAACUAGUAUCAUGCUAGAUAAUCUGUAAACAGGCCCCAGGUAAAAAAAAAUAGCGAUCCUUUAAAUUACUGCCUUUGAAAAACAUUCAUUUUAUCUAAUCAGCUGAUUGAUAAAUACACACACACACACACACACACACACACACACACACAUAUUUAUAUAUAUAUAUAUAUAUAUAUAUAUAUAUAUAUAUAUAUAUAUAUAUAUAUAUAUAUAUAUAUAUAAAGGAGUGGUUGAUGGAAACAAUUACAAUAUACUGUAAUUUCUCUAAAGCUGAUAAAAUGUUCGCCACCAUCUCAUUUUUAAGAUUAUGCUUCAAUAUCACAACCUUCAAACGCAUAAAUCUUACAAGUUUUAGUGUCUCCGGUAGAAAGGAUGUAAAAUGUUUCUGUAUUAUUGUCUUAAAUCUAUUUCAUUGUGUUUACACUGUGUUACAGUUUUUGUGAAAAUAUUCUUACUGUUGUUGAUGCUGUUGUUUAACUCUUAGGGCAUGAUUUCAUCCGUGGUGUGGAAGAUGUGAGUUAUGGCCAGGAAACUUGAAGUGUACAGGACAUUUCUGAUUGAGACAAAAAUAUGCAGUGUUAAUGGUCAAUCCAAUUUUGCAUAGAGUUAAACAGCCGAUCCUCUGCGCUGCUGAUUGAACAGAAUCUUAAUUUUCCCCCUUGGGUUGAAAAUGGUAGUUUCACUCCCAAAUGCUCCCUCUCUCCUGACACGUGCCUUUGAAGGGUGCUUGGGAGGUGCAAAUACUUCCUCUGUAAAUACAAUCAAAUUCAACAGUCCCUGUACUAUGGAGAGGAGGUGGUUGGACUCGGGCACCAAAGUCUGUUCAGUGCUGUUUCACUCUCCUAUUUCUGUCUGAUGAUCUAAGCCUUGUACACCACAGAUGCACCAUGCCACUAACAUUCCAGUAGUGUAGAAAUAGGCACAUGCAAGUCUACAGCAGUGAGGUUCAUUGUGCCAUUUUAAAGUUUGUACCUCUAGAAAGACCGAACAGCAGGGAGCUCAAGCUUCAGCUCAAGCCAAUGAUCGCACAGGUAUUAAAAUAUCCUGGUAUUCUGUUCUAACAAUAUAACUGUCUCAUGUCAUGUUGCCCUAGGGGCUUCAUACUCUCCCUAUAUUUUGACAUUUAGUUCCAAUUUAAGGCAUGUUUAUUUUCUGAUUAUGUAUCCUUCUCCAAGAGUCACAACUGUCCUUUCAGACGGUGGUCACUCUGCAGUCGAAUCUCACAAUGGAAACAAUAGUAUUUUCAGUUGGGACAACGUUCCACUAUGGCCUCCAGUUGUCACUGUUACUCAGCAAGGCUUCGAAGUGUAAUUUCAUACUUUUGUAGGUCAAAAUGUUACACUUCACUUCACCAUCACUGCAUGAGAGGAAUACUCAAAGAGAUAGUCAUGUCCAAAUGGACAAGAAAUUAUUAUGUGUAGGAUUGGUAUGCUAUAGGGGACUGGACAUAGCCCUGUGUUAGCCAAAGGUGUACAAACUCUUCGCAUUCAUUUCAAAAACAGUAAGAAAGGAUUAGUACAAUUUAAGAAAGGAGGAUGUGGUCAGGGUCAGAGUGAGGUGCAUCAUGGGUUCUCAGGGCAUGACAGUGCUGAAAGAAACUACAACCAAAGGGCGUUGGAGAUGGGGUUUUGGGUGAGGAUCUGGAUCUGGUGAGGAACAGAGCUUUUUGGGGGUUUUUUACUGAAGGAGAAAGCUGAAACAAUGACAUUAUGUUGUUGUUAUUUCAUUGUUGGGGAUGUAGGAAGAGUAUGCACCAAAACAAACACUGUUUAGUUGUGUUCUCCACUGGGCCUCCAUAGGUUCCAUUGUCACAUAAUGAGCACAUGCUUGCCAGACAUUAGCCACAGUUAUCAAAAAGAAAACUCAUCCGCAUCUUACUUUAGUAUUAGUAGAUACUUCAUCAUAGUGUCAGCGGAUUAAUAUAUUUAUUGUAUUUUUCAUAUUUUGGCGUUAUGGAAACAAUCAGUAAUGUUAGAAUUGUACCAAGAAAUAUGCUAAUGCUUUGCUAGGAAAUGAAGACUACAGGCCAUUGUGUCAUUAUUUUUCUUUAGAUUUCUACACACUUUACGAAAUAUUAACAAGUUGAGUUGGGAGGCGUCCUUUAUUAUUAAUUUAUUCUAGAUUUCACAUUACCGUUAUAAGCUAUGCUAAGCUAUAUGACUAUAAUUUUAUAAAUACCAAGUUUAUUAGUGAAGGCCAAAUCUGUUUUAUCGUUAAAAACUAUGCAAUACUAUACCAUUUAUCUGAUUAAAUUAAGCUAUUUUACAGUUGAACACAGGGUCCAAUCGAUAUAGUCAAGAUGUAGCCCCUAGCAAACCACUAGGGCUCCACAUGCCUAGCCAGUUUGUAGUACACUACUUCUGAGUCGAGGCCUGGGCCUUGGUCGUAGGUAAGGCAUCAGGCUUGCCCUAUAACAGCUAACAUGGCGUCAUGUGGGGAAGUAGCAGAGGCCCGGUGAAGGAGGUUGUUGUCUCUUGGCUAACCAGACAGAGCAGGUUUCCCAGGCAGUCAUCCAGACGUUUGUAUCCUUAUAGGGACAAACUGGUGAUAGGCAGAUAAGACCGUCUGGAUCAAUGGGACGAGAGGAGAUACGAUUGGAUCCAAGUCAUGCAAGAGAAAGGGGUGGAAUUUGGCCGAUGCUUACUCCAAGUCGGACCGUUUGAGUGAAUCCUCAUUGCGACCCACUGGGUUCAGUGUUUAGUCUGCCCCUUCAAGAUGCCAGGAUCCGUAGUCUAGGAUCCUAACGGGCUGGUAAUGCACCUGAAGAUGUUUGAAGAUAAGGGCCACAACCUUCUCCAUAGACAAACAAUAAGAUAAUGAGAAAUUCAGCACAAGAUCUUUGUCUGUCGGCCAUGAAAAAACAUUCAGGAUUACGCUCAGAUGGUUAGCUCAGACUUACUCAAAAAAGCACCUAAUGAUUUAUAACAUACAGCAGUGACUUAAAACUCAAACUAUUCGCUGAACCUUAGUUAUAUUAUGAAUUCAAAGAACCAACACAUAUUCAGUGACUUAUUUAUGAGAAGUUGUGUAAAUGAUAUUCUAUUUUUCUUUCCUUCUCGGUACAAUGUUUAUUAUUAUCAUUAUCAUCAUAGUUUCUUUGUAUCUUGUAUUGUGUGCACUGUAUGAAAAACCACCAUAGUUUUCACCUGUGUGACACAAUAAACUCUUCUAAAACAGUCAGGCUUGUAUGACUUAUUUCCAAUGGAAAACAACGCCCAACCCAUUACAAAGGUAACCAGCAAAUGAGAAAAAAAAAAUCUAGUUUUAUUAACAUUUGUAUUUUAAAG